ACCCACGACAAAUCUUACCACUCCUUGUAUAAUAAAUAUUUUCCUUAAGGGAUUGUUUUGACUUUGAGGAACUUUAAUUAAAUAAUAACAUAUAUACUUAUGAUAAGUCUUUAAACUUACUUAUAUAUAUUUGUAAUACGUCAUCUAAACUUAUAUUAAUAAUAAUUCAAUAGUUAUUAUUGAAUCGAUGACAUAAUUGUUGUUAAUGUGAUGGAUAGUAAUAAUAAUUAAAUAUUGUUAUGGGUGUGAGUAACAUUAGUAAUAAUAACUAAUUAUUACCAUUAUAAACCACAGUAAUAAUAAUUGAUUAAAUAAUUAAAUGGAAUGAAUGAUUAAGCAAUUAGUAAUUCAUUAAUAUUUAUUACAGGUGUUGCAUGGCUGUCUUUAGUUCGUGUUGUGAAAUGUUAGGUUAAUUCCGAAAACGAACGCAAUCCUUAUCUUUAUUUAAAACUAUAUAAAGAGGUAUCUUUCCAUAAGAAGGAAUAAUUAGGGUGAAGACAAGUCCUCAUGACCCUUAUGGAGUGGGCUACAGACGUGCCACAAAUAUUUCUACAAAGGGAAGCAAAGAUGAAAGUCUGAGCUAAUCCUCAAAAGAAAUAAAAGUACGGAUAAGAAU
Molecule: ribosomal RNA, 616 nt
Filed under: Pneumocystis carinii
Lineage: Eukaryota; Fungi; Ascomycota; Pneumocystomycetes; Pneumocystales; Pneumocystaceae
Description: partial small subunit ribosomal RNA
Rfam family: Bacterial small subunit ribosomal RNA (bases 318-518)
Source: RNAcentral